Molecule: ribosomal RNA, 253 nt
Filed under: uncultured bacterium
Lineage: Bacteria
Description: partial 16S ribosomal RNA
Rfam family: Bacterial small subunit ribosomal RNA
Source: RNAcentral
UACAGAGGGUGCAAGCGUUGUUCGGAUUCAUUGGGCGUAAAGGGCGCGUAGGCGGCGCGGUAAGUCGGGUGUGAAAUCUUGGAGCUUAACUCCGAAACUGCAUUCGAUACUGCCGUGCUUGAGGACUGGAGAGGAGACUGGAAUUUACGGUGUAGCGGUGAAAUGCGUAGAUAUCGUAAGGAAGACCAGUGGCGAAGGCGGGUCUCUGGACAGUUCCUGACGCUGAGGCACGAAGGCCAGGGGAGCAAACGGG